Molecule: long non-coding RNA, 995 nt
Filed under: Mytilus galloprovincialis (Mediterranean mussel)
Lineage: Eukaryota; Metazoa; Mollusca; Bivalvia; Mytilida; Mytilidae
Source: RNAcentral
CUCCGGGUAUAUUGUUAUGCAAUCUGUAACUUUACUACAAUGGUUCUUUUAUGGUUGCCAUGGUAAUGGUUGUUUUGUUUUAAGGGGACAAUAAUUUGAUGGUUUUUUUUGGGGGGGGGGGAGUUGACGAAUAGAUCUAAUCAUUUUGAUCUGUUGCUACGCAAGUUUAUAUUUUACUACAGCAAAGCUUCAUUUUUAGGCAGUUAAGCUGCCUUAUGCGAGCACUCUGGAUUUGUGUGCUACCCAAUAAAUGCUGAAAUACGUGCCAUUGUUAUAAUUUAGCUGGCUACUAUAUUAUUUGUAACUUAUUGGACAGUUUUUUUAUACUUUUCAUUCUGAAUUACAAAAAAUAUGACCAGAAAAACCUUAAAUGAUCGUCGAUUUUCCCAAAAGUUUUGAAGUUGCACAUAGGAAGUAGAGCACAUUUUGAGGUGUGCCUUGAUUGGCAGAAACUCGUUUACAGAUUACAGAUUACAGAUUAGGAAUCCUUAUGUAGUUUAUUAUCCUCUGAGCUUUUGGCUAAGAUGUCAAAGAACAAAUGUAUGAAAUAUCUAAUCGCCGAAAAUCUCUAAAGACAAGUAGUUAAGAUUUCCCAAAUUGCAAAAGUCGUAGGAAUAUUGUUUGUCGACAAUACGUAGUCAACUACGUAUAUAAGUUCAACUGUUGGCGGCAAUUUUGAAUUUAAAAGAAGACGAAAUUUUCGUAUCUUUUCAAUUUGGACGCAGGGUUUUAAAUUAGCGGUGGUCCAAGGUCUGUGACCUUCCACUUUUGCAGUCGGACUUUCUACUUUGUUACUAGCUACGCACGACAUGCCCGACGGACCUUGAAAUAAUAUAAAAAAAUAACUUUGCAAACAUUUUUACCAAAGUUUCCUAAUAAACGAUCUCAAACUUAUAUUCAUCAUUACUAUUUCAUGACAGCCAUGUUCAAUUUGUUCUACCGCUAGCUUUAUACAUAAAAUCGCUGAUAAAUAAUGUGUAAAUCCGAGUAAAAUC